This 2140-nucleotide long non-coding RNA is filed under the name Salmo salar (Atlantic salmon). RNAcentral's name for it is "lncRNA (ENSSSAG00000107743.1)". The stretch from base 1868 to 1921 matches the Rfam family "UnaL2 LINE 3' element". Lineage: Eukaryota; Metazoa; Chordata; Actinopteri; Salmoniformes; Salmonidae. The record is from RNAcentral.
CUGUCACGGAUCCCUCCGGAACUUUCAUCACGCACACCUGUCCCCUAUUCCCACUGAUUAAUAUUUGUAUAUAUGUGCCCUUUGGUUUCCAUGGUCUUGUCGAUUAUUGUUACAAUGUCCGUUGGUGCGUGUGAGUAGCUGUGUUGUGUGUUUUGGGCUUUCGUGUCGUUGUGGAUGCGCAGAUGAUUACGGGUCUGUGUGUUAAUCAUCGUGCGCGUGUGUUAUUUAUUCAAGGUACUCCUCGCUCUUUUGUUUGGGUUUCAACUCUGUGUUUUUGUUACGUGUUUGUUUGAGACCAAACAAUACUCUAGAAAUCAUAUGGAGGUCAAUUAUACUACUCAGCCUUUAUAUGCUGUGUACUGCAUGUGGCCUUCAUAUGUAAAAAACGGCUUUAUGGUAAAGCAUACUAAUGCAUACUUUUCAGAUAUUAUUUUGUGUGGAUCCCCAUUGAGGCCUUUCCUCGCGUUCAUCAGAAAUUAAUAGAGAUGGCUUCCAGCCUGUUGUCUGCAGAAUGCAUUCAUUCAUUUUGUGUGUGUGUGUGUGUGUGUGUGUAUUUUCCUCACCAUGCCGCUGCCUGAAGUUUGAUUUUCACAGUGCUAGAGAUCCAGACAGAAAGCAAUCAAGGGCUUUGGGAUGUCACAGCCAUGUCUAGGUGAAGAAUGUACAGUAGAAAAUGUAGUGGAGAAUUGGGAAAAGUGAACAUUAUCCAAAAUUCUGCUUGUCUAACACAUUGAUGCUCUAGCCGUAAACUGCAUUCAUCUGGGUUUCUUUGCAAAUGUUGAGGUUUAUGUCUAUAUAAAAUGUAACAUCUGCUCAAAAUUCUAAUCUGUGACUAGAUUCUUAUCAUCCUAUGUGUUGUCCUCAGUAUACAGUAAUCCUACACUGUUAUCUUGCUCAGAGGUGAAAGGGAAAGACCACAUGCAGCAUAAAAAAUGCACAAUCAUUGAUUUGUGGAACUGUGAGUAACUCGUACUCCCUAUGAAGGCUUCAGCCUUCACCAUAUAAAAUAUAGAAUAUACAGCUAUUGACGCAACUCUUUUCAAUUCCCUUUAAACAAGAAUGCGUUUCAAUGCUCAUCAAAACAGCGAUGGCAGGAUCAUGCCGAAAAGAAUCCAACGCCUUGAACAGCGUCAGAAACCAAACUUUCCCACCCUUGACCCAACAUGUUUUCCUCCAAGUUAUAGGGUUUCUGGAAGGACUGUGGGGGGAUGGACUGUGAGGGGAUGGCAGAGGCUCGCCUUGUAGGAGACUGUUGCUGAUUACUGCUGACGUGUGGUGGUCUCUAAGGCGCUUAUAGCUGACGAAGCAUCACCCAGGUGGGUGCUACACUUUUCAGUGGUGAAUCUGUAUCGACCGCGGGGGAGGAGUCGCUGUGAACUUCAGAGACAAAGGUGCCUGAUGAAUAGCUCCGGGGCCUGCCUGUCUGAAUAAUCUUACUCCCUAGCUGGCCAAUCGACACCAGCUUGACUAAAGCUUCUCCUGUACAUAACUGCAUCAUCGUCCAGCUGUGGAAGACCAUCUCCCCUGUAUUGCCAGCUCCCUGACAUCUUUUUUUUUGUGUGUGACUGAGAAUCUGUACGAAAAGUGCUAUUAUUAUUAUUAAGAUCCUAUUAAAUUACUAGAGGCGCUAUGUUAUAAACCCUCAAAGUUCCAGAAUGGUAUGAAAAUGGCAGCCAUUGUGGUCAGGCAGAAAUCCAAACCAGUCUUAUUGGGAUGAAUGGCAGUAGAGGCAUAGGUGAUGCAUUCCUUAUUUUACUGAUGCAGGGAAAUAAAAGUAAGGCAUGUGCAGGGGUGUCAUUUCAGCUAAACCUAGGGUAUGGCAAAGUGCAGUGGGUGGGGUUUAAUGAAAUGAAAUCUAUGAAAUGUAUGCAUUCACUACUGUAAGUCGCUCUGGAUAAGAGCGUCUGCUAAAUGACUAAAAUGUAAAAUGUAAAAAAAUUAAGUUCAAGCUCAUUUACUGCAUUUGUACACAAUUCAAAACUCUAAAAUGCAUUUUGGAGAACAGCAAAAGCAACCAAAAUUUACUCCAGCCAUCAUUAAAAUGCAAAUCAAUGAUCAAUCAAAAACAUGCGUUUUUCUGGAUUUUUGUUGUUGUUAUUCUGUCUCUCACUGUUCAAAUAAACCUACCAUUAAAAUUAAA